GACGAACAGUGCGAACGUUGUUCGGAUUCACUGGGCUUAAAGGGCGCGUAGGCGGACUCGCCAGUCUGUGGUGAAAGCCCCCAGCUUAACUGGGGAAGUGCCGUGGAUACUGCGAGUCUGGAGGAGGGUAGGGGCAUCUGGAACGCUGGGUGGAGCGGUGAAAUGCGUUGAUAUCCAGCGGAACUCCGGUGGCGAAGGCGAGGUGCUGGACCAUUUCUGACGCUGAGGCGCGAAAGCCAGGGGAGCAAACGGG
This 253-nucleotide ribosomal RNA is filed under the name uncultured bacterium. Its description in RNAcentral is "partial 16S ribosomal RNA". It matches the Rfam family "Bacterial small subunit ribosomal RNA", at positions 524 to 776 of the family's 1533-position model. The record is from RNAcentral.